RNAcentral lists this long non-coding RNA (411 nucleotides) under Fukomys damarensis (Damara mole-rat). RNAcentral's name for it is "lncRNA (ENSFDAG00000027802.1)". Lineage: Eukaryota; Metazoa; Chordata; Mammalia; Rodentia; Bathyergidae. The record is from RNAcentral.
GUUUCAAGCUAGCCAAAAUUACUUGGCUAAGUUUCAGAGAGGCUGCCUAUAUGUGGAUGGAGUUAAAUCUCAGCCACACGUGAGAACGGAAGCAGCGCAAAGCUUGGAAUCUCAGCGGGCCACUCCUCUCCUGCAUUAGGUCUGAUCCGGAGACAGUGCUUGGCCAUCCAGCCAGGAGGGCGAGUAAGCACUGCUUCUGGGACACUCUUUCGUGCAAGGACACGGCCUAGUUUAGAGCGGCUGGAAAGUACAACACCACUGGAAAAGGAUUUGUGCUGCUUCAUUUUGCAGUGGAAGGCAAGUGGCUUCGUGCAGAAAACGCACAACGCACAGGGCCUCGCCUUGCAGCAACGCCCUCCCCCGCGGCUCCGCUGACAGCCCACGCGCGAGCAGUGCCUUCCUCUCUUCGCG